ACUCGUAGACUCCUACGGGAGGCAGCAGUGGGAAUAUUGGACAAUGGGGGAACCCUGAUCCAGCCAUGCCGCGUGUGUGAAGAAGGCCUUAUGGUUGUAAAGCACUUUAAGCGAGGAGGAGGCUACUAGUAUUAAUACUACUGGAUAGUGGACGUUACUCGCAGAAUAAGCACCGGCUAACUCUGUGCCAGCAGCCGCGGUAAUACAGAGGGUGCGAGCGUUAAUCGGAUUUACUGGGCGUAAAGCGUGCGUAGGCGGCCAUUUAAGUCAAAUGUGAAAUCCCCGAGCUUAACUUGGGAAUUGCAUUCGAUACUGGAUGGCUAGAGUAUGGGAGAGGAUGGUAGAAUUCCAGGUGUAGCGGUGAAAUGCGUAGAGAUCUGGAGGAAUACCGAUGGCGAAGGCAGCCAUCUGGCCUAAUACUGACGCUGAGGUACGAAAGCAUGGGGAGCAAACAGGAUUAGAUACCCUGGUAG
This 473-nucleotide ribosomal RNA is filed under the name uncultured bacterium. Its description in RNAcentral is "bacterial SSU rRNA". It matches the Rfam family "Bacterial small subunit ribosomal RNA", at positions 327 to 793 of the family's 1533-position model. The record is from RNAcentral.